CUCGUAUGCAUAAUUUCUUUAUGCAUAAAAUGUACUUACGUCAAGCUAUUAAAACUUGACGUAAGUACAUUUUAUGCAUAAAGAAACCAUUUAAG
Non-coding RNA from Paramuricea clavata, 95 nucleotides. The record is from the annotation of a GenBank genome assembly. NCBI's taxonomy places the organism in Eukaryota, Metazoa, Cnidaria, Anthozoa, Malacalcyonacea, Plexauridae.